UAAGGAAUAUUGGUCAAUGGACGCAAGUCUGAACCAGCCAUGCCGCGUGAAGGAUGAAGGUCCUCUGGAUUGUAAACUUCUUUUAUUUGGGACGAAACACUUUCUUUCUAGAGAGCUUGACGGUACCAGAUGAAUAAGCACCGGCUAACUCCGUGCCAGCAGCCGCGGUAAUACGGAGGGUGCAAGCGUUAUCCGGAUUCACUGGGUUUAAAGGGUGCGUAGGCGGGCAGGUAAGUCAGUGGUGAAAUCUCCGAGCUUAACUCGGAAACUGCCGUUGAUACUAUCUGUCUUGAAUAUUGUGGAGGUAAGCGGAAUAUGUCAUGUAGCGGUGAAAUGCUUAGAUAUGACAUAGAACACCUAUUGCGAAGGCAGCUUACUACGCAAUCAUUGACGCUGAGGCACGAAAGCGUGAGGAUCAAACA
This 422-nucleotide ribosomal RNA is filed under the name uncultured Lacibacter sp. Its description in RNAcentral is "bacterial SSU rRNA". It matches the Rfam family "Bacterial small subunit ribosomal RNA", at positions 355 to 774 of the family's 1533-position model. The record is from RNAcentral. Lineage: Bacteria; Pseudomonadati; Bacteroidota; Chitinophagia; Chitinophagales; Chitinophagaceae.